RNAcentral lists this ribosomal RNA (505 nucleotides) under uncultured bacterium. RNAcentral's name for it is "partial 16S ribosomal RNA". It matches the Rfam family "Bacterial small subunit ribosomal RNA", at positions 28 to 507 of the family's 1533-position model. The record is from RNAcentral.
GACGAACGCUGGCGGCGUGCCUAAUACAUGCAAGUCGAACGCACAGUUUAUACCGUCUCUUGCUACACCAUAAACUGUGAGUUGCGAACGGGUGAGUAACGCGUAGGUAACCCGCCUGGUAGCGGGGGAUAACUAUAGGAAACGAUAGCUAAUACUGCUCAAUAUUAAUUAUUGCAUGGUAAUUGAAUGAAAGAUGCAAUUGCAUCACUACCCGAUGGACCGGCGUUGUAUUCGCUAGAAGGGGAGGUAACGGCGCACCUAGGCGACGAUGCGUAGCCGACCUGAGAGGGGGAGCGGCCCAGCUGGGACUGGGACACGGCCCAGAACACUAGGAGAGGGAGCAGUAGGGAAUCCUCGGGGAUGGAAGAAAGUCUGACCGAGCGACGCCGCGUGAAUGAAGAAGGUUGUCGGGUCGUGAGGGUCUGUUAUGAGAGAAGAACGGGUGUGAGAGUGGAAAGUUCACACUGUGACGGUAUCUUACCAGAAAGCGACGGCUAACUACGUG